UUAAGUUAUUAAGGGCGCACGGUGGAUGCCUUGGCACUAGAAGCCGAUGAAGGACGUUACUAACGACGAUAUGCUUUGGGGAGCUGUAAGUAAGCUUUGAUCCAGAGAUUUCCGAAUGGGGAAACCCAGCAUGAGUUAUGUCAUGUUAUCGAUAUGUGAAUACAUAGCAUAUCAGAAGGCACACCCGGAGAACUGAAACAUCUUAGUACCCGGAGGAAGAGAAAGAAAAUUCGAUUCCCUUAGUAGCGGCGAGCGAAACGGGAAGAGCCCAAACCAACAAGCUUGCUUGUUGGGGUUGUAGGACACUCUNUACGGAGUUACAAAGGACGACAUUAGACGAAUCAUCUGGAAAGAUGAAUCAAAGAAGGUAAUAAUCCUGUAGUCGAAAAUGUUGUCUCUCUUGAGUGGAUCCUGAGUACGACGGAGCACGUGAAAUUCCGUCGGAAUCUGGGAGGACCAUCUCCUAAGGCUAAAUACUCUCUAGUGACCGAUAGUGAACCAGUACCGUGAGGGAAAGGUGAAAAGCACCCCGGAAGGGGAGUGAAAUAGAACCUGAAACCGUGUGCUUACAAGUAGUCAGAGCCCGUUAAUGGGUGAUGGCGUGCCUUUUGUAGAAUGAACCGGCGAGUUACGAUUUGAUGCAAGGUUAAGCAGUAAAUGUGGAGCCGUAGCGAAAGCGAGUCUGAAUAGGGCGUUUAGUAUUUGGUCGUAGACCCGAAACCAGGUGAUCUACCCUUGGUCAGGUUGAAGUUCAGGUAACACUGAAUGGAGGACCGAACCGACUUACGUUGAAAAGUGAGCGGAUGAACUGAGGGUAGCGGAGAAAUUCCAAUCGAACCUGGAGAUAGCUGGUUCUCUCCGAAAUAGCUUUAGGGCUAGCCUCAAGUGAUGAUUAUUGGAGGUAGAGCACUGUUUGGACGAGGGGCCCCUCUCGGGUUACCGAAUUCAGACAAACUCCGAAUGCCAAUUAAUUUAACUUGGGAGUCAGAACAUGGGUGAUAAGGUCCGUGUUCGAAAGGGAAACAGCCCAGACCACCAGCUAAGGUCCCAAAAUAUAUGUUAAGUGGAAAAGGAUGUGGCGUUGCCCAGACAACUAGGAUGUUGGCUUAGAAGCAGCCAUCAUUUAAAGAGUGCGUAAUAGCUCACUAGUCGAGUGACACUGCGCCGAAAAUGUACCGGGGCUAAACAUAUUACCGAAGCUGUGGAUUGUCCUUUGGACAAUGGUAGGAGAGCGUUCUAAGGGCGUUGAAGCAUGAUCGUAAGGACAUGUGGAGCGCUUAGAAGUGAGAAUGCCGGUGUGAGUAGCGAAAGACGGGUGAGAAUCCCGUCCACCGAUUGACUAAGGUUUCCAGAGGAAGGCUCGUCCGCUCUGGGUUAGUCGGGUCCUAAGCUGAGGCCGACAGGCGUAGGCGAUGGAUAACAGGUUGAUAUUCCUGUACCACCUAUAAUCGUUUUAAUCGAUGGGGGGACGCAGUAGGAUAGGCGAAGCGUGCGAUUGGAUUGCACGUCUAAGCAGUAAGGCUGAGUAUUAGGCAAAUCCGGUACUCGUUAAGGCUGAGCUGUGAUGGGGAGAAGACAUUGNGUCUUCGAGUCGUUGAUUUCACACUGCCGAGAAAAGCCUCUAGAUAGAAAAUAGGUGCCCGUACCGCAAACCGACACAGGUAGUCAAGAUGAGAAUUCUAAGGUGAGCGAGCGAACUCUCGUUAAGGAACUCGGCAAAAUGACCCCGUAACUUCGGGAGAAGGGGUGCUCUUUAGGGUUAACGCCCAGAAGAGCCGCAGUGAAUAGGCCCAAGCGACUGUUUAUCAAAAACACAGGUCUCUGCUAAACCGUAAGGUGAUGUAUAGGGGCUGACGCCUGCCCGGUGCUGGAAGGUUAAGAGGAGUGGUUAGCUUCUGCGAAGCUACGAAUCGAAGCCCCAGUAAACGGCGGCCGUAACUAUAACGGUCCUAAGGUAGCGAAAUUCCUUGUCGGGUAAGUUCCGACCCGCACGAAAGGCGUAACGAUUUGGGCACUGUCUCAACGAGAGACUCGGUGAAAUCAUAGUACCUGUGAAGAUGCAGGUUACCCGCGACAGGACGGAAAGACCCCGUGGAGCUUUACUGUAGCCUGAUAUUGAAAUUCGGCACAGCUUGUACAGGAUAGGUAGGAGCCUUUGAAACGUGAGCGCUAGCUUACGUGGAGGCGCUGGUGGGAUACUACCCUAGCUGUGUUGGCUUUCUAACCCGCACCACUUAUCGUGGUGGGAGACAGUGUCAGGCGGGCAGUUUGACUGGGGCGGUCGCCUCCUAAAAGGUAACGGAGGCGCUCAAAGGUUCCCUCAGAAUGGUUGGAAAUCAUUCAUAGAGUGUAAAGGCAUAAGGGAGCUUGACUGCGAGACCUACAAGUCGAGCAGGGUCGAAAGACGGACUUAGUGAUCCGGUGGUUCCGCAUGGAAGGGCCAUCGCUCAACGGAUAAAAGCUACCCCGGGGAUAACAGGCUUAUCUCCCCCAAGAGUUCACAUCGACGGGGAGGUUUGGCACCUCGAUGUCGGCUCAUCGCAUCCUGGGGCUGUAGUCGGUCCCAAGGGUUGGGCUGUUCGCCCAUUAAAGCGGUACGCGAGCUGGGUUCAGAACGUCGUGAGACAGUUCGGUCCUAUCCGUCGUGGGCGUAGGAAAUUUGAGAGGAGCUGUCCUUAGUACGAGAGGACCGGGAUGGACAUACCUCUGGUGUACCAGUUGUCGUGCCAACGGCAUAGCUGGGUAGCUAUGUGUGGACGGGAUAAGUGCUGAAAGCAUCUAAGCAUGAAGCCCCCCUCAAGAUGAGAUUUCCCAACUUCGGUUAUAAGAUCCCUCAAAGAUGAUGAGGUUAAUAGGUUCGAGGUGGAAGCAUGGUGACAUGUGGAGCUGACGAAUACUAAUCGAUCGAAGACUUAAUCAA
This 2920-nucleotide ribosomal RNA is filed under the name Staphylococcus aureus. Its description in RNAcentral is "23S ribosomal RNA". It matches the Rfam family "Bacterial large subunit ribosomal RNA". The record is from RNAcentral. Lineage: Bacteria; Bacillati; Bacillota; Bacilli; Caryophanales; Staphylococcaceae.